UUUAAAACCCGAUAAACACAAAACCCAAUCUCUGCCUUCUCCUUCCUCAGUCAAAACAGUCCCACCACAACUGAGUGAUAAAAAAAUAAAUAAAAAAUUCAAUGCACCACCACAAUCUCUGCCUUUCUCCUUUCCCGUUUCACCCACAACCACAAUCUCUGCCUUCUCCUUUCCCGUUUCACCCACAACCACCACAACUCAGUAGGCAGCAGCACCUCCACCACCCACAACAACCGCAACACACAAACCACCAUAAUCAGACCAUAUCAAACCCACAACCCAAAAGCAAAAAACGAUUCUGAAGAUCUGCGAUUGCCCAAAGUUAAAGUCACUGCUGAACUUCUUUCCUAUAACUUACAGAAAUUCGAGAUCUGGGGGAGUCCGAUUCUAGAUGAACGUUGCGAAUCAUCUGGCCGUUGGGGAGACGAUAUGGUAAGUUAGGUUUGAUUUUUGAUUUUGUUAUUAAUCCUGACCCUGUUCAAAUGCAACCGCGCUCUCAAUAUUCCUGCCCCUACAGGUUUUAAUAGAACAAAUUGCAGUAACUAUGACAUCUAUUAUAGUCCUCCACAUUAUAAUUUAACGCCCUCUCCACCUAAAUGUCCAAUCAUUCAUCUCCCAUUGAACUGGCAAAAUGAAGGUAAUGACCUGUUUAGAUUGUUAUCUGCUGAGAUUUUACUUGAAGUGCGUAUGACUGAAGGUUGUCGCGAGUGUUAUAUCAAAGGAGGUCAAUGUAAGAUUGACCACAAAGGAAAAGCUUAUUGUACCAAAGGAACGAAAGGGAAUAAUAGAAGCAGGGUAGUAGCAUUAGGUAAGAUGCCUCUUCAAUCAGAUAUCGUGUUGCAAUAAAUAUUCGAGUUUGCAAGGAAAUUAAAUUAUUCAUCAGCCUCCUUUUCUCAGCCUCUUCGUUUAUCAAGUUCCAAAAUCAACCAAAGCCUCAACUUUGAACACACCCAUUUGCAAUUUUGGUUGAAUGAUGAGAAAAAGCAGAGCAUGAUUGAAGACAUCUACAACACCAAGAAGCAGAAAAGGCGGAGAAAUAACUGAAAGGGUUUUUUGGUAUUGGUAUUGGCGGAGGAAUUUGGGUUAGGGGAGAGAGUUGGAGAGAGAUCUAUGGGAGACCCUUCACUACUGUCAAACCAGUCCCCUCUAAUACUAUGAAGAGAUUACUGUAUUAAUUGUUAAUCUGACACAACCGGAUGAAGCAUGGAGUCGAAUAUUAUGUAUAUGAGAUUGCUCUGGUAUUGGACAGAUUGUUUUUCUUCUCUUUUAGUUUUAUACUCUUGCACAGAUUGUUUGUUCUCUCUUCCGUUAUUAUUAUUAUUAUUUUAUCUGAAUGCAACCAAAUGACCAAUCUUUGGAACUUUAGCAUAUUUUUUUAUAUAUGUUUUAUCUAAUUACUAGGUGUCUAUGUGUCGGGAGGAACUGGAGCAUGACUAUGAGAAGAAGAAUGAAAAGCCACUUCAAUCUGCAUAUUUUAUAAUUUUAAUGAGAACCAAAACAGUCACAAUGAAUCAAAGAGUAGAUAUGCAAAACUUGAAAUCUUUGACUUUCAAUUCUUUUAUUUGUUUGUAUAUUAUAUUAACUUGAAAUCUUAUGAUUUUGUGUUUAUUUGUGUCUUACACAUUACAAUUAGGUGUUGGAUUUUGAAAAUUUUCUUGGUUUUAAUAGUUGAAGGAUGGGAGGGAGGAAGGUGCUAAGCAAAUACUACGCACCUGUCCAACCUAGAGGCUUGAGGGGUCAAGCACACAUGAUGCUUCCCAUAAGUAGAUGUUAUUGGUGACAAUUAUUUAGGUAUUCGGAGGUUCUGAUUCUACUGCAAAUGUACAAAUGCUUUGCUGAGCUUACCAUCAAGACUGACUCACAAAAUUUCAACUAUAUUGUUGAGUCUGGUGCUACCAGAAAUUUUGAACCUGUGUGAAGAUGAUGAGGCAGCAGAGACAAUAACCAUAAAAGAGAAGUUGGAGAGAUGGAAGAUGCAAUGAAAUCUUUAGAGAACAAAAACCUUGGAUUUGGAAAGAAAAAUGGACAUCAUUACUACACUGGAUGGGAUGAAAUCUAUGAAGUUCUUUUUUUUGUAUUUCAUGGACUUAAUUGGCAGACAAGGUACCCCCACAUGGUACUACUCUUUCUUAUCAAUUUUCAGCUUCAAUCUUCUUGGGUUUAAUCCUUAUUCAAAUGUGUUAAAACUUUUAAGGUUUUUGUUUUAAUUGGUGGUAGUUGAGAAUUGAGUGAGGAUCUUGCAAAAUAUGCGAAAGUGUUAGAAGUAGGGGCUAAUGGAUUGGGCUAUGAGCUGCUAAAAGACUUGGCUCUAUCAGGUUUCCAUUAUUGGCUUCAAGGCUCUUUAUUGUAUGCAUUUUCUUAUGAGACAUUUUGGCUCUAUCUUUGUAUUCAAUAUUGAAGUUAAGGUAGUUAGAUGUAUAGUUUAGUGAUUUAGGGGGGUGGAUGAAAAUUGUAAGUGAAUAUGAUACUUGGCAGAUUCUUUCAAACAUUGUUCUUUCAAUUGGAGUGACUAAUUGGUUGCUAUACAUAAAGCUCAACUUGGACAUUGAUGCUGAAA
This is a long non-coding RNA of Quercus lobata, 2557 nucleotides long. RefSeq lists it as uncharacterized. The transcript is spliced from 6 exons. The record is from RefSeq and is a predicted model, not a curated record. Lineage: Eukaryota; Viridiplantae; Streptophyta; Magnoliopsida; Fagales; Fagaceae.